AGUGCUCUGUACCGACUAUUGCCAAUGGCACUUCCAAUGCGACUUCAAUCUCAUAUUCCGAAACCGUUAAAUUUACUUGUAGUAGUGGCUUUUGGAUGCGCGGGUUGGCAACAUCAAACUGCACCUCUAAUGGUCUGGCUGCUGUACCCGAAUGUUUAGUAUACCGAGAGUUGCACGGUUAUUACUACUGCGCGUACGUUGAUGCAGUCAUUAAAACAACACAGGAAGGAUACCAACAUAAUUACUUGGACCCUGUUUGCCAAGGUCAUGAUGCGCGAUCUCUUCGGAAGGAAACGGUACAUCACACUGCUUGUGACGGAAUGAGAACACGUAUGGGACACUCCUGGACAACCGCUAGACAUCAUAAUACCCCUGGUGUGUAUGAUUACUACAGCACAGUUGGUUACGGCCUCAAUUGGGGUGCUAAACAACAUGUGGCCUGCGAAAUACCAUGCAACCGUACUGCUGGUGAUCGCAUUGCUGAUAUCUCUGUCGAAGGGAAGGUUACCUGUGAGUUCGGGUAUGAGUACCUGCAUAGUGAGCCAGUGUGCGAGGGGACAAGAAUGGUUAAACAAU
This is a long non-coding RNA of Sycon ciliatum, 576 nucleotides long. RefSeq lists it as uncharacterized. The record is from RefSeq and is a predicted model, not a curated record. NCBI's taxonomy places the organism in Eukaryota, Metazoa, Porifera, Calcarea, Leucosolenida, Sycettidae. The transcript has 3 exons.